Molecule: non-coding RNA, 45 nt
Filed under: Schistosoma mansoni
Lineage: Eukaryota; Metazoa; Platyhelminthes; Trematoda; Strigeidida; Schistosomatidae
Source: RNAcentral
AUCAAGCUGACGAGUCCCAAAUAGAACGAAACACGCGUCCUGGAU